CGUCAUUUUAUGCUGUACUCUUUCAUUUCUUGUUGCUUAGCAACAACACAAUAACAAUAAAAUUAUCGCCAUUUUGAGUUUGGAGUUGUAGAAAAUUUCCUCUAUUUGUCCAUAAAGAUCGUUGGUCUUUACUGCUCCUUACACACUCAGCCAAAAUGGAGGAUGAUGAUUUAGGACUUGACUUUGAUUUAGAUUCGCCACCAAAAAAAGGUGUGCCACGUUUGGGUCGUCGAUCUGAAAAUAUAAAUUCACAGAGUCCUCUCCAUGCCUCAUCAUUUGAUUUAGAAAGUCCACCUUCUGGAAAACUUACACCAGCUAAAAGUGGGCAACCUAGACCUCCUCCUAGAUCAAGAAAAACAGGUGGUUGGGCAGAAGAUCCUCCAUCUAGUGCUGUGCGUAGUUUUGCCUUCACAGUUGGCUAAGAAGAAGUGCACGACCAAACAUAACUGCGAAGAUUUACCUUGGACGUGGGAUAUUAUUUUCGCCGAUGUGUCUUCUGAAUUAACUUUAGAUUCCGAGGGAAAAACAGAAAAAGACGAUAUUUCAAUUAACUAAU
This 556-nucleotide long non-coding RNA is filed under the name Androctonus crassicauda. The record is from RNAcentral. Lineage: Eukaryota; Metazoa; Arthropoda; Arachnida; Scorpiones; Buthidae.